GAUGAACGCUGGCGGCGUGCCUAAUACAUGCAAGUCGAGCGAACAGACGAGGAGCUUGCUCCUCUGACGUUAGCGGCGGACGGGUGAGUAACACGUGGAUAACCUACCUAUAAGACUGGGAUAACUUCGGGAAACCGGAGCUAAUACCGGAUAAUAUAUUGAACCGCAUGGUUCAAUAGUGAAAGACGGUUUUGCUGUCACUUAUAGAUGGAUCCGCGCCGCAUUAGCUAGUUGGUAAGGUAACGGCUUACCAAGGCAACGAUGCGUAGCCGACCUGAGAGGGUGGUCGGCCACACUGGAACUGAGACACGGUCCAGACUCCUACGGGAGGCAGCAGUAGGGAAUCUUCCGCAAUGGGCGAAAGCCUGACGGAGCAACGCCGCGUGAGUGAUGAAGGUCUUCGGAGCGUAAAACUCUGUUAUUAGGGAAGAACAAAUGUGUAAGUAACUAUGCACGUCUUGACGGUACCUAAUCAGAAAGCCACGGCUAACUACGUG
RNAcentral lists this ribosomal RNA (497 nucleotides) under uncultured bacterium. RNAcentral's name for it is "partial 16S ribosomal RNA". It matches the Rfam family "Bacterial small subunit ribosomal RNA", at positions 28 to 507 of the family's 1533-position model. The record is from RNAcentral.